RNAcentral lists this ribosomal RNA (486 nucleotides) under uncultured bacterium. Its description in RNAcentral is "bacterial SSU rRNA". It matches the Rfam family "Bacterial small subunit ribosomal RNA", at positions 33 to 507 of the family's 1533-position model. The record is from RNAcentral.
ACGCUGGCGGCGUGCUUAACACAUGCAAGUGGAGCGACGAACCGGGCUUGCCCCGGGGCAGAGCCGCGAACGGGUGAGUAACACGUGGGUAACCUGCCUCAAUGAUUGGGACAACCCGGGGUAACUCGGGCUAAUACCAAAUGUGUUCACUCCUUUUAAGGGGAGUGAGGAAAGGAAGCUUCGGCCUCCGCAUUGAGAUGGGCCCGCGGCCCAUUAGCUUGUUGGUGAGGUAACGGCUCACCAAGGCUUCGAUGGGUAGCUGGUCUGAGAGGACGAUCAGCCACACUGGGACUGAGACACGGCCCAGACUCCUACGGGAGGCAGCAGUGGGGAAUCUUGCACAAUGCGCGAAAGCGUGAUGCAGCAACGCCGCGUGGGGAAGACGGCCUUCGGGUUGUAAACCCCUUUCAGUUGGGACGAAGCUUCGCCGGUGAAUAGCCGGUUGGAGUGACGGUACCUUCAGAAGAAGCCCCGGCUAACUACGUG